GGCUCCAUGGUCAAGCGGUUAAGACAUCGCCCUUUCACGGCGGUAACGCGGGUUCAAUUCCCGCUGGAGUCA
Molecule: transfer RNA, 72 nt
Filed under: Clostridia bacterium
Lineage: Bacteria; Bacillati; Bacillota; Clostridia
Description: tRNA-Glu
Rfam family: tRNA
About the family: Transfer RNA (tRNA) molecules are approximately 80 nucleotides in length.
Source: RNAcentral